RNAcentral lists this ribosomal RNA (506 nucleotides) under uncultured bacterium. RNAcentral describes it as "partial 16S ribosomal RNA". It matches the Rfam family "Bacterial small subunit ribosomal RNA", at positions 29 to 523 of the family's 1533-position model. The record is from RNAcentral.
AGUGAACGCUGGCGGUAGGCCUAACACAUGCAAGUCGAACGGCAGCACAGGAGAGCUUGCUCUCUGGGUGGCGAGUGGCGGACGGGUGAGGAAUACAUCGGAAUCUACUUUUUCGUGGGGGAUAACGUAGGGAAACUUACGCUAAUACCGCAUACGACCUACGGGUGAAAGCAGGGGAUCUUCGGACCUUGCGCGAUUGAAUGAGCCGAUGUCGGAUCAGCUAGUUGGCGGGGUAAAGGCCCACCAAGGCGACGAUCCGUAGCUGGUCUGAGGGGAUGAGCAGCCACACUGGAAAUGAGACACGGUCCAGACUCCUACGGGAGGCAGCAGUGGGGAAUAUUGGACAAUGGGCGCAAGCCUGAUCCAGCCAUACCGCGUGGGUGAAGAAGGCCUUCGGGUUGUAAAGCCCUUUUGUUGGGAAAGAAAUCCAGCUGGUUAAUACCCGGUUGGGAUGACGGUGCCCAAAGAAUAAGCACCGGCUAACUUCGUGCCAGCCGCCGCGGUAA